Molecule: ribosomal RNA, 562 nt
Filed under: Trichoderma harzianum
Lineage: Eukaryota; Fungi; Ascomycota; Sordariomycetes; Hypocreales; Hypocreaceae
Description: eukaryotic LSU rRNA
Rfam family: 5.8S ribosomal RNA (bases 192-345)
Source: RNAcentral
CUCCCAAACCCAAUGUGAACGUUACCAAACUGUUGCCUCGGCGGGAUCUCUGCCCCGGGUGCGUCGCAGCCCCGGACCAAGGCGCCCGCCGGAGGACCAACCAAAACUCUUAUUGUAUACCCCCUCGCGGGUUUUUUUUUAUAAUCUGAGCCUUCUCGGCGCCUCUCGUAGGCGUUUCGAAAAUGAAUCAAAACUUUCAACAACGGAUCUCUUGGUUCUGGCAUCGAUGAAGAACGCAGCGAAAUGCGAUAAGUAAUGUGAAUUGCAGAAUUCAGUGAAUCAUCGAAUCUUUGAACGCACAUUGCGCCCGCCAGUAUUCUGGCGGGCAUGCCUGUCCGAGCGUCAUUUCAACCCUCGAACCCCUCCGGGGGGUCGGCGUUGGGGAUCGGCCCUGCCUUGGCGGUGGCCGUCUCCGAAAUACAGUGGCGGUCUCGCCGCAGCCUCUCCUGCGCAGUAGUUUGCACACUCGCAUCGGGAGCGCGGCGCGUCCACAGCCGUUAAACACCCAACUUCUGAAAUGUUGACCUCGGAUCAGGUAGGAAUACCCGCUGAACUUAAGCAU